UGCUGUUGGGGACACUUCCAGGGUGCUUGUGUAUGCCCUUUGCAUUGAGUUUUGCACUGAAGGCUCCCUAGAAAAACAUGUCCACCUGACAGGAUGACCAGCUGGUGUGGAGUUGUCAUAGGCUACUUUGACCUCAUUAUGGUGUGUGACCUAGGAGGAUGAACCGCCAAGGCACAUUACAACCACGCAAUACCAAGGCUAUCUGUUUCCCAAGAAAGAGGUGACUGCGUUGAGACAAGAAGAAUCCAAAUCCUAUCUAGAACAGUGAAAGGCUGAGAGGAAACUUGGGGAAUGUGACAGCAGGAAAUGUCUUGCAUCUCAACAAACCCGAGCACAGCAUCACCACACAAAGAUAGAAAAACCUAAAUGAAUCACAAUCAAUAAUAGCAGCAUGGAAACAUAAGGAUAUAUUUCAUAAUAUGGUUUAUAGGGGGGGGGGGGGUAUGCCA
This is a long non-coding RNA of Esox lucius (northern pike), 449 nucleotides long. RefSeq lists it as uncharacterized. The transcript has 3 exons. Lineage: Eukaryota; Metazoa; Chordata; Actinopteri; Esociformes; Esocidae. The record is from RefSeq and is a predicted model, not a curated record.